GGAGAGAUGGCUCAGAGGUUAAGAGCACUGUCUGUUCUUCCAGAGGUCCUGAGUUCAAUUCUCAGUAACCUCA
Rattus norvegicus (Norway rat) is the source of this 73-nucleotide non-coding RNA. The record is from Rfam. Lineage: Eukaryota; Metazoa; Chordata; Mammalia; Rodentia; Muridae.